GACAGAGGGGGCAAGCGUUGCUCGGAAUUACUGGGCGUAAAGGGCGCGUAGGCGGGCUGGCAAGUCGGUCGUGAAAUCCCUCGGCUCAACUGAGGAGCGUCGAUCGAAACUGCCGUUCUUGAGGGUUGCAGAGGAGACUGGAAUUCCCGGUGUAGCGGUGAAAUGUGUAGAGAUCGGGAGGAACACCGGUGGCGAAGGCGGGUCUCUGGGCAACUCCUGACGCUGAGGCGCGAAAGCUAGGGGAGCAAACGGG
Molecule: ribosomal RNA, 253 nt
Filed under: uncultured bacterium
Lineage: Bacteria
Description: partial 16S ribosomal RNA
Rfam family: Bacterial small subunit ribosomal RNA
Source: RNAcentral